Molecule: transfer RNA, 71 nt
Organism: Ovis aries (sheep)
Lineage: Eukaryota; Metazoa; Chordata; Mammalia; Artiodactyla; Bovidae
Rfam family: tRNA
About the family: Transfer RNA (tRNA) molecules are approximately 80 nucleotides in length.
Source: Rfam
UCCCAGGUGGUUCAGUGGUAAAGAAUCUGCCUGCCAAGCAGGAGAUACAGGUUCAAUCCAUGAGUUGGGAA